Ribosomal RNA from Lepisosteus oculatus (spotted gar), 119 nucleotides. NCBI's taxonomy places the organism in Eukaryota, Metazoa, Chordata, Actinopteri, Semionotiformes, Lepisosteidae. The record is from Ensembl.
GCCAGCAGCCAAGUCACCCUGCAGCUCACAACUGGCAGCCCACUGAAGCUCAGCAGGUGUGAGCCUGGUCAGUACCUGGAUGGGAGACCUCCUGGGAAAAACUACGGUUGCUGCUGUAA